ACCCCUGAAUUUAAGCAUAUUAAUGAGGGGAGGAAAAGAAACUAACAAGGAUUUUCUUAGUAGCGGCGAGCGAAAAGAAAAUAGUUCAGCACUAAGUCACUUUGUCUUUAUGGCAAAUGUGAGAUGCAGUGUAUGGAAUGUCAAAUUUCUAGUAUGAGAAAUUAACGAUUUAAGUCCUUCUUAAAUGAGGCCAUUUACCCAAAGAGGGUGCCAGGCCCGUAUAACGUUAAUGAUUACUAGAUGGCAUUUCCAAAGAGUCGUGUUGCUUGAUAGUGCAGCACUAAGUGGGUGGUAAACUCCAUCUAAAACUAAAUAUAACCAUGAGACCGAUAGUAAACAAGUACCGUGAGGGAAAGUUGAAAAGAACUCUGAAUAGAGAGUUAAAUAGUACGUGAAACUGCUUAGAGGUUAAGCCCGAUGAACCUGAAUAUCCAUUAUGGAAAAUUCAUCAUUAUGAUUUUAAUAUUUGUAAUAUUAUAAUAAUGGUGUGCAUUUUUUCUAUAAAGGACAUUGUAAUCUAUUAACUGUUUAUUCAAAUUAUUUUGCUUGCAAUUUAAUAUCGAAUAAAUUCUUUUGAUUUGAUAAAGUGUUGAUAGAUUUAUUAUAUACAGUGCUUAAAUAUUUAUAUUUUAUAAUAUCAUAUUAAUCAAUGAUUUUUAUGUUCAUUAUAUGCACUUGUAUGAUUAACAAUGCGAAAGAUUCAGGAUACCUUCGGGACCCGUCUUGAAACACGGACCAAGGAGUCUAACAUAUUUGCAAGUUAUUGGGAAUAAAAACCUAAUAGCGAAAUUAACAUAACUUUAAUGGGAUUAGUUUUUAGCCUAUUUAGUCUAUUAAUUCAAUCCCGGGGCGUUCUAUACAGUUAUGUAUAAUAAUAUUUAUAUUAUUUAUACCUCUAACUAGAGCGUACCUUGAGCAUAUAUGCUGUGACCCGAAAGAUGGUGAACUAUACUUGAUCAGGUUGAAGUCAGGGGAAACCCUGAUGGAAGACCGAAACAGUUCUGACGUGCAAAUCGAUUGUCAGAAUUGAGUAUAGGGGCGAAAGACCAAUCGAACCAUCUAGUAGCUGGUUCCCUCCGAAGUUUCCCUCAGGAUAGCUGGUGCAUUUAAAAAUUAUGUAAAAUAAUCUUAUCUGGUAAAGCGAAUGAUUAGAGGCCUUAGGGUCGAAACGAUCUUAACCUAUUCUCAAACUUUAAAUGGGUAAGAACCUCACCUUUCUUGGUAUGAAGGUUGUGGUUGUGAUAUAAUGUGCCCAGUGGGCCACUUUUGGUAAGCAGAACUGGCGCUGUGGGAUGAACCAAACGUAAUGUUACGGUGCCCAAAUUAACAACUCAUGCAGAUACCAUGAAAGGCGUUGGUUGCUUAAAACAGCAGGACGGUGGACAUGGAAGUCGUAAUCCGCUAAGGAGAGAAGGGUUUCGUGUGAACAGUGGUUGAUCACGAGUUAGUCGGUCCUAAGUUUAAGGCGAAAGCCGAAAAUUUUCAAGUUAUAAUGAAUAAUAAUAAAACACUUGAAUAAUUUUGAACGAAAGGGAAUACGGUUCCAAUUCCGUAACCUGUUGAGUAUCCGUUUGUUAUUAAAUAUGGGCCUUGUGCUCAUCCUGGCAACAGGAACGACCAUAAAGAAGCCGUCGAGAGAUAUCGGAAGAGUUUUCUUUUCUGUUUUAUAGUCGUACUACCAUGGAAGUCUUUCGAAGAGAGAUAUGGUAGAUGGACUAGAAGAGCAUGACAUUUACUGUUGUGUCGAUAUUUUCUCCUCGGACCUUGAAAAUUUAUGGUGGGGUCACGCAAACUUCUCAACAGGCCGUACCAAUAUCCGCAGCA
This 1824-nucleotide ribosomal RNA is filed under the name Lucilia cuprina x Lucilia sericata. RNAcentral's name for it is "eukaryotic LSU rRNA". It matches the Rfam family "Eukaryotic large subunit ribosomal RNA", at positions 24 to 1861 of the family's 3401-position model. Lineage: Eukaryota; Metazoa; Arthropoda; Insecta; Diptera; Calliphoridae. The record is from RNAcentral.